This 409-nucleotide ribosomal RNA is filed under the name Hemiandrus sp. OZ08. RNAcentral describes it as "partial 12S ribosomal RNA". It matches the Rfam family "Microsporidia small subunit ribosomal RNA", at positions 755 to 1311 of the family's 1311-position model. Lineage: Eukaryota; Metazoa; Arthropoda; Insecta; Orthoptera; Anostostomatidae. The record is from RNAcentral.
UAGUUAAGGUCUUGAAACUCAAAGAAUUUGGCGGUGUUUUAGUCUAUUCAGAGGAAUCUGUUCCGUAAUUGAUAAUUCACGAAUUAUGAGGCUUAAUUUUGUAAAGUACAGUUUGUAUACCGCCGUCAUCAGAUUAUUUUUAUAGAAUGUGAAUUUUCUUGGAGUUAUAUGAGAAAGUAUGUCAGGUCAAGGUGCAAUUUAUGGUUAAGAGGAAAUGGGUUACAAUAAAUUUAUUUAUAACGGAUUUUAAGAUGAAUAAGUUAAUUGAAGGUGGAUUUGAUAGUAAUGUUGUAUAGAUUUAUAAUUUGAUUUUAGCUCUAAAACAUGCACAUAUCGCCCGUCGCUCUCGUUUGGUAAAGUGAGAUAAGUCGUAACAUAGUAGACGUACUGGAAAGUGUGUCUAGAAAGA